CCUACGGGAGGCAGCAGUGGGGAAUAUUGCACAAUGGGCGAAAGCCUGAUGCAGCGACGCCGCGUGAGGGAUGACGGCCUUCGGGUCGUAAACCUCUUUCAGCAGGGAAGAAGCGAAAGUGACGGUACCUGCAGAAGAAGCGCCGGCUAACUACGUGCCAGCAGCCGCGGUAAUACGUAGGGCGCAAGCGUUGUCCGGAAUUAUUGGGCGUAAAGAGCUCGUAGGCGGCUUGUCACGUCGGAUGUGAAAGCCCGGGGCUUAACCCCGGGUCUGCAUUCGAUACGGGCUAGCUAGAGUGUGGUAGGGGAGAUCGGAAUUCCUGGUGUAGCGGUGAAAUGCGCAGAUAUCAGGAGGAACACCGGUGGCGAAGGCGGAUCUCUGGGCCAUUACUGACGCUGAGGAGCGAAAGCGUGGGGAGCGAACAGGAUUAGAUACCCUGGUAGUCCACGCCGUAAACGUUGGGAACUAGGUGUUGGCGACAUUCCACGUCGUCGGUGCCGCAGCUAACGCAUUAAGUUCCCCGCCUGGGGAGUACGGCCGCAAGGCUAAAACUCAAGGAUUGACGG
This 566-nucleotide ribosomal RNA is filed under the name uncultured bacterium. RNAcentral describes it as "bacterial SSU rRNA". It matches the Rfam family "Bacterial small subunit ribosomal RNA", at positions 338 to 916 of the family's 1533-position model. The record is from RNAcentral.